UCUUUUCCUUGUGUGCCAGCAGCCGCGGUAAUACGGAAGAUGCGAGCGUUAUCCGGAUUUAUUGGGUUUAAAGGGAGCGUAGGCGGGCUUUUAAGUCAGCGGUCAAAUGCCACGGCUCAACCGUGGCCAGCCGUUGAAACUGCAAGCCUUGAGUCUGCACAGGGCACAUGGAAUUCGUGGUGUAGCGGUGAAAUGCUUAGAUAUCACGAAGAACUCCGAUCGCGAAGGCAUUGUGCCGGGGCAGCACUGACGCUGAGGCUCGAAAGUGCGGGUAUCAAACAGG
Molecule: ribosomal RNA, 283 nt
Filed under: Paraprevotella clara YIT 11840
Lineage: Bacteria; Pseudomonadati; Bacteroidota; Bacteroidia; Bacteroidales; Prevotellaceae
Description: partial 16S ribosomal RNA
Rfam family: Bacterial small subunit ribosomal RNA
Source: RNAcentral